RNAcentral lists this long non-coding RNA (365 nucleotides) under Setaria italica (foxtail millet). RNAcentral describes it as "long non-coding RNA (SITA_LNC006366)". The record is from RNAcentral. Lineage: Eukaryota; Viridiplantae; Streptophyta; Magnoliopsida; Poales; Poaceae.
UAUUGUGUAUUUCAUUUGUGCUAUAUGAUAUGAAUUCAUUUCAAAUCCAUUUGCUUCAAAAAUCACUUGAUCAUGUCCCCCAUUAAGUUCUCAUGCCAAAACUUAUAUAGUCACAAAAAUACGCUUCUCAAUGAUAUGGCAACAGCAUGCACUACUUCAGGCCAGAAAAAUCUAUCAACUGUAUUUCUUUUGCUGACCCCCAAUUAAAGAAUGCCUAAAGAUUCAAACAGCUGGGUAUGACACAGCUGACUCAAAUAUUUUCCAAUAUUUUUUCUUUUAGUCAUGUAUAUCUCAUACGUUAGGAUCUUUUUGCCUUAAUUUUGAACUGAUGAGUAGCAUCAUAAUUCUAUACAAGGAACUCCAGG